UACAGGGGGCUCGAGCGUUAGUCGGAAUCACUGGGCUUAAAGGGUGCGUAGGCGGCUCGCCAAGUGCUUUGUGAAAUCCCACAGCUCAACUGUGGAACAGCAGGGCAAACUGGCGAGCUUGAGGCAGGUAGGGGCCGGAAGAACAGUUGGUGGAGCGGUGAAAUGCGUAGAUAUCAACUGGAAUGCCGAUGGGGAAGCCGUCCGGCUGGGCCUGUCCUGACGCUGAGGCACGAAAGCCAGGGGAGCGAACGGG
Molecule: ribosomal RNA, 253 nt
Filed under: uncultured bacterium
Lineage: Bacteria
Description: partial 16S ribosomal RNA
Rfam family: Bacterial small subunit ribosomal RNA
Source: RNAcentral